UACGGAAGGGGCAAGCGUUGUUCGGAAUCAUUGGGCGUAAAGGGCGCGUAGGUGGUUCUGUAUGUCUACCGUGAAAGCGUACGGCUCAACCGUAUUUUGUCGGUGGAAACUGCAGGACUUGAGGCUGGGAGGGGCUGGUGGAAUUCCCUGUGUAGCGGUGAAAUGCGUAGAUAUGCGGAGGAACACCGAUGGCGAAGGCAAUCCCCUGGGCCUGCACUGACGCUCAUGCACGAAAGCGUGGGGAGCAAACAGG
This 253-nucleotide ribosomal RNA is filed under the name uncultured bacterium. RNAcentral describes it as "partial 16S ribosomal RNA". It matches the Rfam family "Bacterial small subunit ribosomal RNA", at positions 524 to 776 of the family's 1533-position model. The record is from RNAcentral.